ACUAAGGAUUUGUGUUAGCUGUUGUAUUCCUCUAUGGAGUGUCCCUUUGAAAUUGUUCCAUUAUCUUAUUUGGUACUGUAUAACUGUUAUCUCUUAUAACCGCACUUGCUUUCUCUAUGUCUCUGUCUCUCAUCAACGACCCCACUUACAACCCCUAUGCUUCAUAUUGACAUAUCGUACUGUAUUAUUUUUUCUUUGUUUCUUAAGAAAUUGAACAUUAAAAUGGAUGGAGGAAGUAGUCAAAUAAAAAAGAAAAAAUCCGUUAAAAAAAAAAAUCGAGUAAAUACGGAAAGAAUAAAAAGGGGAGAGAAGAAAGUCAUUUUGCCGCCAUAGUAGCAGCAGAAGAAAAUCUCAACAUUCGCCAAAUACUUUCAGUACACUCUGCUCAUUCUCUCUCCUGUUCUCGUGUCUUCAAUUCGAAGAUACUUAUUCAAAUUCACCUUGAAAUUUUUUACAUGGAAGAUGAGGAUUGACAAUUGAAAAUGGGUGAUUGUGGAAGGGAAGGUUACAAGAAUCGUGUCGACUUUGUCGCAAGUCAAUAAUGUUAUUGAAAUCCCGAUGUAUUUCUGUACAAUAAAGAAACAGAUGGAAGCUAAGGAUGAUAGUGGAUAUAAACAUGUAUGGGAGAUCUGUGCAGAUGUGAGGUUGAUUUUCAAGAAUGCUAUGAAAUAUACUAAUGAAAAGAAUGAUCUACAUGUCAUGGCAAGAACCUUGUUGGCAAAGUUCGAAGAAAAGUGGCUACAGUUUUUACCUGAGUUGUGGAAAAGGCAGGUUGCUGUUGCAGGAUAAUAGACGAUAAGAAGAGGAAGCUGAUGUACAGCUAAGCAUGCAGCUGCUCAAGAGUCUACUUAUGCCAAAAUGACUUGGGAUAUAAGCAACGAGGAAAAUGUCAGCAGAAGAGGAAAGGCAGGUUGGCGUAGCCCUCACAAGUCACAAGGCUAUCCACUGAUGAUCUCAGUGGGGCACUAGAGAUUGUUGUCCUGAGCAAUCCUGGUUUUGUAUUAAAUGCGCUGAGGAGGUGGACCUCGCUAUAGAUGCUCAGGUAGUCUUUUUCUGGAUAUAUUGUCUGCCCCACAGGCUAGCUUCUUGUCAGAUCAUUUUAGGAAUGUUUUUCCGUUGACAUAUAGAGUGAAUCCACAUUAUGGAGGCUACAAUUCUAUAUAAAAGUCGCACCGCAAGCUCAAGGCAAGCCUGCAGCAAGCAUGGGUGGCAACUAUAGCGAUAACAAUGAAACAAUAAACGAAAGAGAGACUGAGAGAGGUCUGCAAUGCCAACCAGGCUUGCCAAGAAGUGUAAGAAGGGGAGCAUAAGUGACACUCAAGGUUUGAACUUCAAAAUGUUAUUACAGCCCUCAGGUAUCUGGAAAAAGAAUUGUAACACUAUGAAAAAUGGAACCGAAACUUGAGAGUGUAUGGAGUAUAUCCCUAACUAUAUACUAUUGUUUAUCCGGACUGGUUAUGUUCGGGAGGUUCUUCAAGAAGGGGUUUAUCAGCGAACUCUGUUUCUAUAAUGGAAGGAACCACCUCCCUAUCCAGGGACUAUGGCCAUGUAAGGCAGCAGGAACCUGCUGAGCCAUCCCGACUUAAUUGUGAACACCAUUAUUUUCUCAUAAUGCACAACCUAUUAGAUUAACAAACUCCAUGUACGUUGUCACCUCGAAUGUUAAAUACAGAAGCUUAAUACAGAGUAUCAUACAGGAAGGUAAUCUCACAAGGAAUUUCGAUAUCAGCAAGAUCAAGGUUUUUAGUGUUACAAACUUUUUCAGAUGUAACAUUUAAUUAUGUUAUGAUUCUUUACUUGUUGUAAUACAGCAUAAUACACCAAAAGUUUGCCAAUAAUAUAAGUUGAUAUUAUGAAUGUUUAUAAUCAAAACCUCUUUAUACA
Chenopodium quinoa (quinoa) is the source of this 1884-nucleotide RNA transcript. It is a transcript of the gene named peptidyl-prolyl cis-trans isomerase FKBP17-1, chloroplastic-like, with no coding region annotated. The transcript is spliced from 6 exons. The record is from RefSeq and is a predicted model, not a curated record. NCBI's taxonomy places the organism in Eukaryota, Viridiplantae, Streptophyta, Magnoliopsida, Caryophyllales, Amaranthaceae.